CAUAGUGCUAAACUUUUGCUCAGCACUGUAGUGCUAAACUUUUGCACAUAACUAUAACUAGCGGGUUGUCACUGCAUGCAUAUGCAAUGUAUGUGUGUGUGUCAGCAGCCGCUAGUUACAAGUUUUUUCAUCUCAUGGUUGUUGUUGCCGUCUGCUGAAUUCAAUCAGCAGCCGGCUUCAGUGACAAAAGAAGAAGUCAAAAUAAUUAUUAGUGAUCGAUACCUUAAACAAAACGUUCGCUCUCCCCGUGACAACAAACAAAAGCAACAAAAAAGGGAAUUAGAAUUUUUGAAAAUUAAGAACAAAUGUGAAUGUGAAACCAAGUGUAUAAAAAAGAAAAUUUAAAAUUAUUAAAACUAUUAUUGCACGAAUUGAUUUAACCUAAAUUAUAUUGCACCUUUGUUACUAUAUUGCACUUACCCAUCGUUUUGAUACAUAAUAAAUUUGUGAACUGAAAAUUAAAAGUGCCAAUUGUACAUUCCUUGGAAAGAAAAAACAAAAGGUUUGUACACGAACAUUUUUGGUCCAUUCGAAGCCGAAUAAGUGAAUUUGUUUUACAACAAAUGUACAAGUGCGUUUAAUUUUUUGUGUGGAAAAUUAUAUAGUCAGUUCAAAAAAUAUACAUAUACAUACCCCAUAAAACGGUGACACUUACGUUUCUAUCUAAAAAUAAAAAUACAUAUAUAUAUAUAUAUAUAUAUAUAUAUAUAAAAAUUGUUAAAAAGUUACUUACCUUGUUGAAAGAGUUGAUACUUACCAAAUUUUAUAAAAACCUUCCUGCAAAAUUUGUAAAAAAUUACUUACCUCAAGAAUUUGUGAAAAGUGCAAAAACAAAAACAUUGUGAGUCUGAGCUGGCAACAGCCAGACAAGAUCAAGUGAAAUUUAAGUGCUGCAAAAAGCGGAACAAAUUAAUUCAAAGCCACUUUAACCAAACGCGGUACGGUUCGGUAAAACCCAACAACAAAAUUUACAAAAAAUUGAACAUUGAAGAGUUCUAGAAGAGUAUAGAAGAGUCUACAGCUCCGCUACCACAGUACCGCUAAUUCAGCCACUGCAACCAAAGGAGCUUCACACACUCUCUUACACAGACACACAGACACAAAGAGAUCAAAGAAUGGCAGCCUACUUGCCCCGUCCAGAAGACGAGCGGCCUCAAGGAAAAGAGCGUCGUCAUCGGGACGAACGAGGAGCGGAACCCCGGCCCCAACGAAAUCCGUCUCGAAAUCGCGACCGCGAUCAUGUAGAUCGGCGCGGAAGACCCACUUUCUGGCAGUACUCUUGCGGUCUCUGCCAAGAUGACCAUGCGCUGAGCACAUGCCGCCGAUUCCGGGACCAGACCCCAUACCAACGUUACGAAACUGUGGAGCGGCGGGGGUAUUGCCGUAAUUGCUUGGCGCGCAGUCAUCUUGCACCUGAUUGCCAGUCCAUCGCAGGCUGCCGUCGCUGCGAGGAGCGACAUCACACGCUGCUGCAUGGGGCACCGCAGCUUGAAAACAUGGAGAGGCCCGCCGAUGAUUUUGCUCCUGCCAACAACGCCAGACCUGCACCCACAGCAUCCCCACCCUUUAAGUGGGAUCUUGUCUUUGUGCCUACUGCCAUGGUACGAAUAGCAGAGGAUGGGGUCGAUACUUGGGCCACCGUGCGAGCGUUGAUCAAUCAAUCAUCUACAAUGUCUCGGCUGGCCUAUUCUACAUUCCGGCGACUUGGACUACGAUCGUGUACAUACCAGGGCAACAGGUUUACAACCUUCCGAUUGAUGCAUCGCAGCCCAAAUAGCAACUGGGCACUUAAGAUUAAUGCAUUCAUCACAGAUGCAUUGCCUUUCCGACCCUACUCAGACCCACUUUUGGAGGACCCGACCCGUGAUUUAGCGCAAGACACCCUUGCUGAUACAGACCCUAGAGCCAACACGUCAAUAGACUUAGAAUUGGGCGCGGAUGUCUAUCCGAGACUGCAGAGGGAUGGCCAUGUCUUUGCCGGCAUUGGGGAUGUCAACGCAUUCCAGACCACUCUUGGCUACGUCUUUGUCGGCCCCAUCCGGAAUAUGCCUAGACACUAAGCUAACAUUUUAGAAGAAUUACACUUGUCACGGGGGGGCAAGAUGUUUAGCAUAGUGCUAAACUUUUGCUCAGCACUGUAGUGCUAAACUUUUGCACAUAACUAUAACUAGCGGGUUGUCACUGCAUGCAUAUGCAAUGUAUGUGUGUGUGUCAGCAGCCGCUAGUUACAAGUUUUUUCAUCUCAUGGUUGUUGUUGCCGUCUGCUGAAUUCAAUCAGCAGCCGGCUUCAGUGACAAAAGAAGAAGUCAAAAUAAUUAUUAGUGAUCGAUACCUUAAACAAAACGUUCGCUCUCCCCGUGACAACAAACAAAAGCAACAAAAAAGGGAAUUAGAAUUUUUGAAAAUUAAGAACAAAUGUGAAUGUGAAACCAAGUGUAUAAAAAAGAAAAUAGAUCUACCUAUAUACUUACCAAGCUAUAUACUUACCUACCUAUAUACUUACCAAGCUAUACACUUACCUGCCUGUGUACUUACAUGCCUAUACCUACUUAUAUAUGUUAAACCAUAAAUACAUAAAAAUUAAAGAAGCCAUUUACACUGUUGAACAAAAAUACUCACCCAAAUGUACCAUCUGAAAGAAAAGUUAAAAAUACAAAAAAAGACAAAUUAAUUUUUACCUGAAUUGUUAAUUCUUGCUAAGUGUUGCCUAGUCUGCUAAAACUUAC
RNA transcript from Stomoxys calcitrans (stable fly), 2726 nucleotides. RefSeq lists it as uncharacterized. The record is from RefSeq and is a predicted model, not a curated record. The transcript is spliced from 4 exons. NCBI's taxonomy places the organism in Eukaryota, Metazoa, Arthropoda, Insecta, Diptera, Muscidae.